This 1153-nucleotide long non-coding RNA is filed under the name Aotus nancymaae (Ma's night monkey). Its description in RNAcentral is "lncRNA (ENSANAG00000039358.1)". The record is from RNAcentral. Lineage: Eukaryota; Metazoa; Chordata; Mammalia; Primates; Aotidae.
AUGAGGAAGCACACUUUGUACAGAGUCUGUUCAGCAUUUGCUGAAUCACUCAUUUGCUGGAUAUAUUAUCUGUAUUUUACUGCCGAAUUCUCAGCACCAUCCCAGGAAGUUGGAGCCUUGAGUAGAGUUUGGAAUUUGCCUUCCAGGAAAGAAGAGUUUGCUGCAGGCCUCAAAUGGGGUGAUUGGUUCCUGGCUUUCAUGCAGGCCAGUGCCAUCUUCCCCCAACAUCCCACCCUCCGCUUCUCUCCUGGGAACUUCAGUGACGCCAAUCAGGCACUCUGUUUUAGUGCCACUAACACCCAUGACCAGCAGAGGGCAGAAGAGAGGAGCAGGAGCCUCCCGUGGAGCCAAACGAGGGGCUCCCCUCUCAGUAAGCAGAAAACUCACGAUUCCGGUACAGUGAGCCAUUAGGGACAAGCUGCCCUCGAAAACCCCCUCCGCGCAGCCGGCCCGCACCCUGACUGCUCUGCCGCUGCUCUCCUAAACCCUCAUCCAGGAGCCACAGCAAGGCCACCAGACGUGCCACAGCCAUCCGAGCAGCAUGGGGAAGGGCAUGGGAAACAAAGCUUUGUCAUGUGUACUUGUAAAUUCCUGUUUUACACGUACCUGUAAAUUCCUGUUUUAUUUAAACUGCUGCCAGAAAAGUCACAGGAUGAUGUAAAUCUGUCGCAAGCUGACAAACUAUCUCUGUGCCUGUUACAGGCUGACAGAUUAUCUCGGUCCCGAGUCCUCUCACCCCGUGUAAACCCCUCGUUUUGUAAGCUCGGGGCCGCUCCUCUGACUGUUAUGGAGCAGCUGGCAGGUCAAUAAAACUUGCUCGUCUGACUUUUCUCUCGGGUGACCUCACAUGUUGGUACCAAAACCGGGGAAGGGUAGACUCUGGCCAGGUGUCCUUAAGGGACUCUCUCUCUCUCUCUCUCUCCCUCCUUCCCUCUCCAGUCCCCUCUUUCCCGGCCUACCCUCCCCUUCCCGAACCUGCCAAAGACCCAGAGAAUCUUCCAGACUCUCCCGUUGCUGCGACGUCGUCCACCAUCAAGGCCUCCGCUGGGGUGUGAGUGAGACCGUUUCCAUUUACCAGGAACCCUGACGGUCUCUGCCUUCCCGAAAGGCGCGGCGCUGGGCCGGGGGCUUCCUCCGUUUCAGGGACGCCCUG